RNAcentral lists this ribosomal RNA (505 nucleotides) under uncultured bacterium. Its description in RNAcentral is "partial 16S ribosomal RNA". It matches the Rfam family "Bacterial small subunit ribosomal RNA", at positions 28 to 507 of the family's 1533-position model. The record is from RNAcentral.
GACGAACGCUGGCGGCGUGCCUAAUACAUGCAAGUAGAACGCACAGUUUAUACCGUAGCUUGCUACACCAUAAACUGUGAGUUGCGAACGGGUGAGUAACGCGUAGGUAACCUGCCUGGUAGCGGGGGAUAACUAUUGGAAACGAUAGCUAAUACCGCAUAAUAUUAAUUAUUGCAUGAUAAUUGAUUGAAAGAUGCAAUUGCAUCACUACCAGAUGGACCUGCGUUGUAUUAGCUAGUAGGUGAGGUAACGGCUCACCUAGGCGACGAUACAUAGCCGACCUGAGAGGGUGGUCGGCCACACUGGGACUGAGACACGGCCCAGACUCCUACGGGAGGCAGCAGUAGGGAAUCUUCGGCAAUGGACGAAAGUCUGACCGAGCAACGCCGCGUGAGUGAAGAAGGUUUUCGGAUCGUAAAGCUCUGUUGUAAGAGAAGAACGGGUGUGAGAGUGGAAAGUUCACACUGUGACGGUAUCUUACCAGAAAGGGACGGCUAACUACGUG